Molecule: ribosomal RNA, 253 nt
Filed under: uncultured bacterium
Lineage: Bacteria
Description: partial 16S ribosomal RNA
Rfam family: Bacterial small subunit ribosomal RNA
Source: RNAcentral
UACAGAAGGUGCGAGCGUUAAUCGGAAUUACUGGGCGUAAAGGGUGCGUAGGUGGUUUUGUAAGUUAGGUGUGAAAGUCCUGGGCUUAACCUGGGGAUUGCGCCUAAUACUGCGAAGCUAGAGUACUGUAGAGGAGACUGGAAUUCCUGGUGUAGCGGUGAAAUGCGCAGAUAUCAGGCGGAACACCGAUGGCGAAGGCACUCUGCUGGGCCGACACUGACACUGAGAGACGAAAGCUAGGGGAGCAAAUGGG